GAUGAAGAACGUAGCGAAAUGCGAUAAGUAGUGUGAAUUGCAGAAUUCAGUGAAUCAUCGAAUCUUUGAACGCACAUUGCGCCCCUUGGUAUCCCGAGGGGCAUGCCUGUUCGAGCGUCAUUUCACCACUCAAGCGUGGCUUGGUGUUGGGCGACGUCCUCUUUGGGGACGCGCCUCGAAACGCUCGGCGGCGUGGCACCGGCUUUAAGCGUAGCAGAAUCUUUCGCUUUGGAAGUCGGGGCCCCGUCUGCCGGAAGACCUGCUCGCAAGGUUGACCUCGGAUCAGGCAGGGAUACCCGCUGAACUUAAGCAUAUCAAUAAGCGGAGGA
Molecule: unclassified non-coding RNA, 329 nt
Filed under: soil metagenome
Description: partial contains 5.8S ribosomal RNA, internal transcribed spacer 2, and large subunit ribosomal RNA
Rfam family: 5.8S ribosomal RNA (bases 1-120)
Source: RNAcentral